Molecule: ribosomal RNA, 901 nt
Filed under: uncultured bacterium
Lineage: Bacteria
Description: bacterial SSU rRNA
Rfam family: Bacterial small subunit ribosomal RNA
Source: RNAcentral
AGAGUUUGAUCCUGGCUCAGGACGAACGCUGGCGGCGUGCUUAACACAUGCAAGUCGAACGAGGUCCAACCGGUGGCAACACCGGGGAAGGCCUAGUGGCGAACGGGUGAGUAACACGUGAGGAACCUGCCCCGAAGUCUGGGAUAACCCUCCGAAAGGAGAGCUAAUACCGGAUGCCCUCAUCAGAUCGCAUGUUCAGAUGAGGAAAGAAUUUCGCUUCGGGAGGGCCUCGCGGCCUAUCAGCUUGUUGGUGAGGUAACGGCUCACCAAGGCGACGACGGGUAGCUGGUCUGAGAGGACGAUCAGCCACACUGGGACUGAGACACGGCCCAGACUCCUACGGGAGGCAGCAGUGGGGAAUCUUGCGCAAUGGGCGAAAGCCUGACGCAGCAACGCCGCGUGCGGGAUGACGGCCUUCGGGUUGUAAACCGCUUUCAGUGGGGACGAAAUCAGACGGUACCCACAGAAGAAGCCCCGGCCAACUACGUGCCAGCAGCCGCGGUAACACGUAGGGGGCGAGCGUUGUCCGGAAUCAUUGGGCGUAAAGAGCUCGUAGGCGGCUCAGUAAGUCGGGUGUGAAACCCCCAGGCUCAACCUGGGGACGCCACUCGAUACUGCUGUGGCUAGAGUCCAGUAGGGGAGUGUGGAAUUCCCGGUGUAGCGGUGAAAUGCGCAGAUAUCGGGAGGAACACCAGCGGCGAAGGCGGCACUCUGGGCUGGAACUGACGCUGAGGAGCGAAAGCGUGGGUAGCAAACAGGAUUAGAUACCCUGGUAGUCCACGCCGUAAACGUUGGGCACUAGGUGUGGGGACCCUCCAACGGUUUCCGUGCCGUAGCUAACGCAUUAAGUGCCCCGCCUGGGGAGUACGGCCGCAAGGCUAAAACUCAAAUGAAUUGACGG